Molecule: ribosomal RNA, 492 nt
Filed under: uncultured bacterium
Lineage: Bacteria
Description: partial 16S ribosomal RNA
Rfam family: Bacterial small subunit ribosomal RNA
Source: RNAcentral
AGUGAACGCUGGCGGUAGGCCUAACACAUGCAAGUCGAACGGCAGCACAGUAAGAGCUUGCUCUUACGGGUGGCGAGUGGCGGACGGGUGAGGAAUACAUCGGAAUCUACUUUUUCGGGGGGGAUAACGGAGGGAAACUUACGCUAAUACCGCAUACGACCUACGGGUGAAAGCAGGGGAUCUUCGGACCUUGCGCGAUUGAAUGAGCCGAUGUCGGAUUAGCUAGUUGGCGGGGUAAAGGCCCACCAAGGCGACGAUCCGUAGCUGGUCUGAGAGGAUGAUCAGCCACACUGGAACUGAGACACGGUCCAGACUCCUACGGGAGGCAGCAGUCGGGAAUAUUGGACAAUGGGCGCAAGCCUGAUCCAGCCAUACCGCGUGGGUGAAGAAGGCCUUCGGGUUGUAAAGCCCUUUUGUUGGGAAAGAAAAGCAGCAGGUUAAUACCCCGCUGUUCUGACGGUACCCAAAGAAUAAGCACCGGCUAACUUCGUG